CCCGAGUAGCUCAGUGGUAAAGUCUCUGACUGUAAAGCUGAGUAACACGGGAUCGAAUCCGUCAGGGAGCA
This 71-nucleotide transfer RNA is filed under the name Schistosoma mansoni. The record is from RNAcentral. Lineage: Eukaryota; Metazoa; Platyhelminthes; Trematoda; Strigeidida; Schistosomatidae.